UACGUAGGGGGCAAGCGUUGUCCGGAUUUAUUGGGCGUAAAGAGCGUGUAGGCGGCCAGACAGGUCCGUUGUGAAAACUCGAGGCUCAACCUCGAGAUGUCGAUGGAAACCGUCUGGCUAGAGUCCGGAAGAGGAGUGUGGAAUUCCUGGUGUAGCGGUGAAAUGCGCAGAUAUCAGGAGGAACACCUAUUGCGAAGGCAGCUCGCUGGGACGCAACUGACGCUGAGACGCGAAAGCGUGGGGAGCAAACAGG
This 253-nucleotide ribosomal RNA is filed under the name uncultured bacterium. RNAcentral describes it as "partial 16S ribosomal RNA". It matches the Rfam family "Bacterial small subunit ribosomal RNA", at positions 524 to 776 of the family's 1533-position model. The record is from RNAcentral.